Molecule: long non-coding RNA, 1128 nt
Organism: Puntigrus tetrazona (Sumatra barb)
Lineage: Eukaryota; Metazoa; Chordata; Actinopteri; Cypriniformes; Cyprinidae
Exons: 3
Source: RefSeq, a predicted model, not a curated record
GCAGCGCGCGCAACAAAACACAUAAAUUCAUAAACUAAUUUACAAAUAUUAAACAUUUUAACAUUAUUAAGCGCGCUUGCCGAGUGACCGAUGCCAUCUCUGUUAAGGAACACACUCGUCGUUUCGCGGCAGCAAAUCCUCACACAAAUAGCCCUCGGAACGUCAUCCCUGACCUGAAGCUGAAGGAAUGAGAGAGUUGGACCUGCUCUGUGGUUUGAAGGGGAUUUGAAGAUGACGUGCAGCCAGGAAAAUAUUCAGUGUGACAACAGACCAUAUGUCCCAAGGUCAAACGAACCGUGGCCACACCUCACUGCUGACGAUCCCGCAUGGCUUGCAGAAAGAGCCUCGAAAAUCAUUACGCCAUCACUCCUCAGCCUUUUAAUAUGCGAGCGCGACUGUAAAGUUAAAGCCGAUAAAUUAGGCCGGCGACCUCAGACCUUACAGUUGCUUGGAGAGCUGCUGGGAAAGCACAGCUGCUUUGACUGAGCAUUUGCAUCGGGUCUUCAGGGGUUACCACACCGCGGGCACACAUUUACAUGGCACAUGAGGCUAUUACAGCUUGCAUGCAAAGUCUGUUACUGUCUGCCGCGGUUCUACGGUCCGGUGAGGACACGAGCUAGGUGGUGGGACGGCAACAAUCACGCGUUUGUCGACACGAUUAAGCUGAACACAACGUGCUAUUUAGAGAUGCACGUUUGUCAGUUCAGCUAAUACGUCUGUCAUUAUCGACACUGACUUGUUUUACCGAAAUAAUGCACUUUAAAAUGCAUUUAUCGCCAUUUAUAUUCAUUAACAUAAACUAACAAGGAACAGUAUGUCUGAAGCGUUUGUCAAUCUACGCCAUGCAAAUUUCAGCGUUUACCAAUAAGCUGCUUUUUUUUUAAAUAUUUACAUCAGUGCGCCUUGAACUAACAUAAAAAAAAUAGCUAAUUGUAAUGUAUAUUAUUGUAACACGAAUUGAUAAUAUUAGCUAAUGAGACCUCGUUUUGAAGUGUCAUUUAAAGCAUUUGUAAAAGUAAUCAUGAAUAAUCGUUCAUAAAAAGGUCAAACAUAAUAAUGCGCACAGAGCGUAUCUCAACAGUGGUGACGGAUAACAAAUGUUUCUUUAUGUUACAAAUAAAUCAUUCA